GACGAACGCUGGCGGCGUGCUUAACACAUGCAAGUCGAACGGACAGGCCCUGCUUUUGCUGGGUGCUCGAGUGGCGCACGGGUGUGUAACACGUGAGUAACCUGCCCUUGACUUUGUGGUAACUUCAGGAAACUGGGGAUAAUACAGGAUAGAAGCUCCUGCUGCGUGGUGGUGGUUGGAAAGUUUCGGCGGUUGGGGAUGGAAUCGCGGCUUAUCAGCUUGUUGGUGGGGUAGUUGCUUACAAAGGCUUUGACGGGUAGCCGGCCUGAGAGGGUGACCGGGCACAAUGGGACUGAGAUACGGCCCAGACGCCUACGGGAGGCAGCAGUGGAGAACAUUGCGCAACGGGCGGAAGCCUGAUGCAGCGACGCCGCGUGCGGGAUGACGGCUUUCGGGGUGUAAACCGCUUUCGCCUGUGACGAAGCGUGAGUGACGGUAAUGGGUAAAGAAGCACCGGCUAACUACGUG
This 468-nucleotide ribosomal RNA is filed under the name uncultured bacterium. RNAcentral describes it as "partial 16S ribosomal RNA". It matches the Rfam family "Bacterial small subunit ribosomal RNA", at positions 28 to 507 of the family's 1533-position model. The record is from RNAcentral.